Molecule: ribosomal RNA, 321 nt
Filed under: Triticum aestivum (bread wheat)
Lineage: Eukaryota; Viridiplantae; Streptophyta; Magnoliopsida; Poales; Poaceae
Description: partial small subunit ribosomal RNA
Source: RNAcentral
AUGAAUGAUAAUGCCAACCCUGACAACCUCUUCGAUGAUGAGUAUUACCUGUUUGCUGGUGAAGGCUCGGUUGCUGAUGACAUGGAGCACGACGUAUUGGAAGACUCAAGUCACAAUACCUAUGUCGACCAUGAUCCCUUGGAUAAUGUGUACUCAAACCUCCCCGAUGGUACACACAUCAUCAAGCACGCCGCGAACUGCGACCACUGCAAGGCCAAGAAGUUUGUCUACGAGGCCUCGAGAUUCUGCUAUCGCAAUGGGCAGAUCAAGCUGAAGCAACCGGAGCCCAUCACGGAGCUAAUGAGGCUUUGGUCUAGCUAG